GACGAACGCUGGCGGCGCGCCUAACACAUGCAAGUCGAAUGGAGUCAAGAGGAGCUUGCUUUUCUUGACUUAGUGGCGAACGGGUGAGUAACGCGUGAGUAACCUGCCCUGGAGUGGGGGACAACAGUUGGAAACGACUGCUAAUACCGCAUAAGCCCACGGAUCCGCAUGGAUCUGCGGGAAAAGGAUUUAUUCGCUUCAGGAUGGACUCGCGUCCAAUUAGCUAGUUGGUGAGGUAACGGCCCACCAAGGCGACGAUUGGUAGCCGGACUGAGGGGUUGAACGGCCACAUUGGGACUGAGACACGGCCCAGACUCCUACGGGAGGCAGCAGUGGGGGAUAUUGCACAAUGGGGGAAACCCUGAUGCAGCGACGCCGCGUGGAGGAAGAAGGUUUUCGGAUUGUAAACUCCUGUCGUUAGGGACGAUAAUGACGGUACCUAACAAGAAAGCACCGGCUAACUACGUG
This 468-nucleotide ribosomal RNA is filed under the name uncultured bacterium. RNAcentral describes it as "partial 16S ribosomal RNA". It matches the Rfam family "Bacterial small subunit ribosomal RNA", at positions 28 to 507 of the family's 1533-position model. The record is from RNAcentral.